GCUCGCGUGGCGCAGCGGUAGCGCAGCAGAUUGCAAAUCUGUUGGUCCCCAGUUCGAUCCUGGGCACGAGCU
The sequence is a transfer RNA, 72 nucleotides long. It matches the Rfam family "tRNA". Rfam says of the family: Transfer RNA (tRNA) molecules are approximately 80 nucleotides in length. Their secondary structure includes four short double-helical elements and three loops (D, anti-codon, and T loops). The record is from Rfam.